This 72-nucleotide transfer RNA is filed under the name Megopis sinica. Its description in RNAcentral is "tRNA-Val". The record is from RNAcentral. Lineage: Eukaryota; Metazoa; Arthropoda; Insecta; Coleoptera; Cerambycidae.
UCAAACUAGAGCUUGAAAUAAAGCAUUUUAUUUACAUUAAAAAGUUAAUUGUGGGAUUCAAUUUGGUUUGAU